Molecule: ribosomal RNA, 460 nt
Filed under: uncultured bacterium
Lineage: Bacteria
Description: partial 16S ribosomal RNA
Rfam family: Bacterial small subunit ribosomal RNA
Source: RNAcentral
CCUACGGGGGACAGCAGUGAGGAAUAUUGGUCAAUGGGCGCGAGCCUGAACCAGCCAAGUCGCGUGAAGGAUGACUGCCCUAUGGGUUGUAAACUUCUUUUAUAAAGGAAUAAAGCGAGGCACGUGUGCCUUUUUGUAUGUACUUUAUGAAUAAGGAUCGGCUAACUCCGUUCCAGCCACCGCGGUAAUACGGAGGGUCCGAGCGUUAUCCGGAUUUAUUGGGUUUAAAGGGAGCGUAGAUGGGUUGUUAAGUCAGUUGUGAAAGUUUGCGGCUCAACCGUAAAAUUGCAAUUGAUACUGGCAGUCUUGAGUACAGUUGAGGUAGGCGGAAUUCGUGGUGUAGCGGUGAAAUGCUUAGAUAUCACGAAGAACUCCGAUUGCGAAGGCAGCUUACUAAACUGCGACUGACAUUGAUGCUCGAAAGUGUGGGUAUCAAACAGGAUUAGAUACCCGGGUAGUC